Molecule: ribosomal RNA, 394 nt
Filed under: uncultured bacterium
Lineage: Bacteria
Description: partial 16S ribosomal RNA
Rfam family: Bacterial small subunit ribosomal RNA
Source: RNAcentral
AUACGUAGGGGACGAGCGUUGUCCGGAAUUACUGGGCGUAAAGGGCGCGCAGGCGGAUAUUUAAGUCAGCUGUAAAAGGCAUGAGCUCAACUCAUGUAUGCGGUUGAAACUGGGUAUCUAGAGUGCUGGAGAGGUAGGCGGAAUUCCCGGGGUAGCGGUGAAAUGCGUAGAUAUCGGGAAGAACACCAGUGGCGAAGGCGGCUUACUGGCCAGCAACUGACGCUGAGGCGCGAAAGCCAGGGGAGCGAACGGGAUUAGAUACCCCGGUAGUCCUGGCCGUAAACGAUGAAUGCUAGGUGUGGGUGUCGAGAGGCAUCCGUGCCGGAGUUAACGCGAUAAGCAUUCCGCCUGGGGAGUACGGUCGCAAGAUUGAAACUUAAAGGAAUUGACGGGG